This 394-nucleotide ribosomal RNA is filed under the name uncultured bacterium. RNAcentral's name for it is "bacterial SSU rRNA". It matches the Rfam family "Bacterial small subunit ribosomal RNA", at positions 30 to 410 of the family's 1533-position model. The record is from RNAcentral.
AGUGAACGCUGGCGGCAGGCCUAACACAUGCAAGUCGAGCGGCAGCGCGUCCGACCACCCUCGGGUGGUCGGAUGGCGGCGAGCGGCGGACGGGUGAGGAAUGCAUCGGAAUCUGCCUCGUUGUGGGGGAUAACGUAGGGAAACUUACGCUAAUACCGCAUACGACCUACGGGUGAAAGUGGGGGACCUUCGGGCCUCACGCGAUGAGAUGAGCCGAUGCCGGAUUAGCUAGUUGGCGGGGUAAAGGCCCACCAAGGCGACGAUCCGUAGCUGGUCUGAGAGGAUGAUCAGCCACACUGGAACUGAGACACGGUCCAGACUCCUACGGGAGGCAGCAGUGGGGAAUAUUGCACAAUGGGCGCAAGCCUGAUGCAGCCAUGCCGCGUGUAUGAAG